AUUGAACGCUGGCGGCAGGCCUAACACAUGCAAGUCGGACGGUAGCACAGAGGAGCUUGCUCCUCGGGUGACGAGUGGCGGACGGGUGAGUAAUGUCUGGGGAUCUGCCCGAUAGAGGGGGAUAACCACUGGAAACGGUGGCUAAUACCGCAUAACGUCGCAAGACCAAAGAGGGGGACCUUCGGGCCUCUCACUAUCGGAUGAACCCAGAUGGGAUUAGCUAGUAGGCGGGGUAAUGGCCCACCUAGGCGACGAUCCCUAGCUGGUCUGGAAGGAUGACCAGCCACACUGGAACUGAGACACGGUCCAGACUCCUACGGGAGGCAGCAGUGGGGAAUAUUGCACAAUGGGCGCAAGCCUGAUGCAGCCAUGCGGCGUGUAUGAAGAAGGCCUUCGGGUUGUAAAGUACUUUCAGCGGGGAGGAAGGCGGUGAGGUUAAUAACCUCACCGAUUGACGUUACCCGCAGAAGAAGCACCGGCUAACUCCGUGCCAGCAGCCGCCGUAA
Molecule: ribosomal RNA, 506 nt
Filed under: uncultured bacterium
Lineage: Bacteria
Description: partial 16S ribosomal RNA
Rfam family: Bacterial small subunit ribosomal RNA
Source: RNAcentral